UCUCGGGGUUACAGCCUUGCUGAAUUAUUCACCCUUGUCUUUUGCGUACUUCUUGUUUCCUUGGUGGGUUCGCCCACCACUAGGACAAACAUAAACCUUUUGUAAUUGCAAUCAGCGUCAGUAACAAAUUAAUAAUUACAACUUUCAACAACGGAUCUCUUGGUUCUGGCAUCGAUGAAGAACGCAGCGAAAUGCGAUAAGUAGUGUGAAUUGCAGAAUUCAGUGAAUCAUCGAAUCUUUGAACGCACAUUGCGCCCUUUGGUAUUCCAAAGGGCAUGCCUGUUCGAGCGUCAUUUGUACCCUCAAGCUUUGCUUGGUGUUGGGCGUCUUGUCUCUAGCUUUGCUGGAGACUCGCCUUAAAGUAAUUGGCAGCCGGCCUACUGGUUUCGGAGCGCAGCACAAGUCGCACUCUCUAUCAGCAAAGGUCUAGCAUCCAUUAAGCCUUUUUUCAACUUUUGACCUCGGAUCAGGUAGGGAUACCCGCUGAACUUAAGCAUAUCAAUAAGUCGGGAGGAA
This 516-nucleotide ribosomal RNA is filed under the name Alternaria sp. F08. RNAcentral's name for it is "eukaryotic LSU rRNA". The stretch from base 140 to 293 matches the Rfam family "5.8S ribosomal RNA". Lineage: Eukaryota; Fungi; Ascomycota; Dothideomycetes; Pleosporales; Pleosporaceae. The record is from RNAcentral.